UCUCCGUAGGUGAACCUGCGGAGGGAUCAUUACAGAGUUCAUGCCCUACCGGGUAGAUCUCCCACCCUAUGUUAUUAUUAUUUUGUUGCUUUGGCGGGCCGUUAGGCUCCGGCCCGACUACCGGCCCCGGCUGGUAAGCGCCCGCCAGAGGACCCAAAACCCUGAAUAUUAGUGUCGUCUGAGUACUAUAUAAUAGUUAAAACUUUCAACAACGGAUCUCUUGGUUCUG
RNAcentral lists this unclassified non-coding RNA (229 nucleotides) under plant metagenome. RNAcentral describes it as "partial contains small subunit ribosomal RNA, internal transcribed spacer 1, and 5.8S ribosomal RNA". The record is from RNAcentral.